This 259-nucleotide ribosomal RNA is filed under the name uncultured bacterium. RNAcentral describes it as "partial 16S ribosomal RNA". It matches the Rfam family "Bacterial small subunit ribosomal RNA", at positions 96 to 354 of the family's 1533-position model. The record is from RNAcentral.
UGGCGGACGGGUGAGUAACGCGUGGGGUAACCUGCCCUGUACAGGGGGAUAACAGUUGGAAACGGCUGCUAAAACCGCAUAACAUGGAGAUACCGCAUGAUAUUUCCAUCAAAUAUUUAUAGGUACAGGAUGGGCCCGCGUCUGAUUAGCCAGUUGGCAGGGUAAUGGCCUACCAAAGCGACGAUCAGUAGCCGACUUGAGAGAGUGACCGGCCACAUUGGGACUGAGACACGGCCCAAACUCCUACGGAAGGCAGCAG